Molecule: long non-coding RNA, 2645 nt
Organism: Alexandromys fortis (reed vole)
Lineage: Eukaryota; Metazoa; Chordata; Mammalia; Rodentia; Cricetidae
Exons: 4
Source: RefSeq, a predicted model, not a curated record
AGCCAAGGGCUUAUGGGGGUCACUAAGUGCUAAAGACCACCGACUCUCACCUCCUCGCUGAAAAGAAGUAUUCUGUGAGGCCAUGGCUAAUUCGUUUUGAUGUAAGAGGCUCAAAACAGUCGGGUCCCUUGUUCUAUCCCACGGCUUAUAUUAUAUUGUACUAGGACGGGUUCCUUCAUCACUUCUCCUCAGACCAAAAUGUAUUGGACGAUAACUAGAAACAUUAAGAGCGGUUGAGAUAACACGUGGCUUUCACUGGAGUUAUCUGAAUAACUGCCUCCAAAGGCUGUUUCCCUGGGCUGGAAAAGACAAUGAUGUCACGGUUACCAAAUUUCUUGCACAAUCAUCAGGCCUCCCUCUAAACUUCUCGGGAUCCGUCGUCUUCCUUCGGAAAAGAUCCUCGGCUUCUGUCUUUUUUACCCCCUUGUGUUUCUGUCAAGACAUUCUCUGUGGAUAUGGGGCAGGUUGUAAAAGAGGGGCCAACAGCUGGAGUCAGGCUUCCUGUGUGAAUGAAAGCCAGCGGGGCUCGUUUCCAGCUUAGUUUGAUAGUUAUCUGGGGCAGUGGUGACUGGGCACCGGCAAGGUUUCGGACGGCUUCCUGCAAUUUCCUGGAUUGUUAGACUGGUGGACGUGUGUGCGCAUGCGCACGCGUGUGCAGAGGCGAGCGGAGAGCAAGGGGAGGCUUCCGCGUGCCUUCCUCGCCUUAGACUUUGCUAAGCGUCAUUAGCUAGACAUAUGCAUGGUGGGAAAAGCAAAAAGCAAAAGUUAGUCACAGUGAGGGAUCCUCACACGGCUACCCCGAAUUACCCAAGAGUGGACUUCGUCAAGUGAUUUCAUCUCCAGGCCCAGUUCUAUUCCUGUACGAGGCCCGCUUCCGGCUCGGAAUCUCUGGCUGCUGUACAAAGGUGUAAAUAUUUCCAAGACACCUUUCAAAAAACCUUUACAUACCCGCCAGCGCCAACUGUGACUUGUGAUCUCCGUUGCACGCCUUUUAGGAAGCACAUGCCAGUGACACACAACCCAGUCUGAAGAGCUGGAGAGAAGACUCUCAACUCCUGCACCGAAUCCUAAAGAAUGGAGGAAGCGAUUCAAGGAAGAGCUGCAUAGAAUAAAGACAGUCUAGAUGGAAGUCACCAAUUGAAUAAUUAUACGGUCGGGAGAGUCGUGACUCGAUAGUGUCAUCUUCAUUUCCAAGGCUCUGGAGGCUCCUUGACUCCACCAGAUGAAUUCGUGAAACUAUCCCCGCCCUGCGCAGGGCUGGGCGCUCCCUCUUCCAAAAGACUUCUCCGAUCAAGGAAAACUAACAGGGAAAGGGGAAUCCACGAGGAGUCAGAUGCUACAGCUGAAAACGUGGGAAAGGUACAGCUCAGCUUGGAUGCAGCAGGCUUGCACUCCUUACUUAUCAAGAUAAGAAGAAAACCAUUAAGCUUGAAGCUGUCUGAACGCAAACCGAACGGCACUUCUCCGAGGCUGGGUAAAGAGCGUGAGAUUCAAAAACCGGACUGACAGAAACUGCUCAGCUUUUCUUCACUCGGUUGUGGGAUGGCUUUAUGAGCUUCCUAGAUGAUAUCAAGAAACCAGAGAAAGAGCCUCCAGCCAGCUCCGACUUAAUAGAACCAUCUGUGGCAUCGGUUCUUUUUAAUUAAGCACUCAGGUGUGUGGGAUCUUCUCGCUGGGUGGCAGCGUCUUGCUCAAGAUGUCCUAGGAUCAUGGGGAGCCCAGGAUGGCCCUCGUAUGUUCAUGACGGAAGCCGCAUUAUUUCAACUCUGCUCUCUCCUCUGCCAUUCAAGAAUCUGAACACAACGUAAACUGUGGCUGAUGUUGGCUGAUGUUAUAGACAACCCUGUUCUGCCAUCCAUAGCUGACUCGAUUUGUGGCGUCUCCCAAGAGAUAUCACUAUAUGCAGGAAAGAGCAUAGACGUAGAUCUAGGCAAACGCAGUUGAAAGCGGUUUAAAUAAAACUUUAUUUCCUUCUGUAUAGAACAGCAUUAAAAAUUAUACUUAUUCGAAGUAGUUAUAUUUAUUUUGUUAAUCUGCUGUGAUGAGGGUGAGGUGUUAUAAAUAUAAAACGAGGGGACUAGUUGAACACUAAUAUGGGGGGGGUGGUUUUUAUUUUUACUUCUCACUUUACAAAUACAUGGCCUUGAUCCGAGAACACUCAAGGUAUCCAUCCAUCUGCCCAAGGGAGGACGAUUAAGAUUUCUAUAAAAGGACCACAAAACAAAAUUAACAACAAAAUGACAAAUGCCCAGCUUCUGCCAUUUAAAUUAUGGCUUGGCUUAGAACGUGAUUUAGUUUCAGUGAAGCAAAAACACUUAGAACUUUGAGAAACAUUAGAAAUCUGGUUUAAAUGAAGCAAAACAAAAGCCUUUCUGGCAAGACUUUACACACACACACACACGCCAAAUUCAUCUACUUUUAUUUUCUUCAGUGUGCUUGGAUGAACCAUAGAGUUUUAUAUAAGAGGCAAAGAGAGCAGGAGAAUAGGAAGAAGCUUCUCUUUGCCAUCCCUGAGGCAAUUCUGUGAGAGAGUGAAGUGGCCAGACAGACGCCACAGUACAGGCGUGGAAUUCAUGGACUCCCGUACUGUGUAUUCACGUCUCAGAAAUGGACACCUUCUAGAAAGCUGUGCACUGCUCAAGAGG